RNAcentral lists this ribosomal RNA (349 nucleotides) under uncultured bacterium. RNAcentral's name for it is "bacterial SSU rRNA". It matches the Rfam family "Bacterial small subunit ribosomal RNA", at positions 917 to 1267 of the family's 1533-position model. The record is from RNAcentral.
GGGCUUACACAAGCGGUGGAGCAUGUGGCUUAAUUCGAUGCAACGCGAGGAACCUUACCUGGGCUAAAUCCACAGUGAUGUCUUCUGGAAACAGGAGGUCCCUUAGGGGCACUAUGGAAGGUGCUGCAUGGCUGUCGUCAGCUCGUGCCGUGAGGUGUUGGUUAAGUCCCGCAACGAGCGCAACCCCUGUGGUUAGUUACCAGCACGUAAAGGUGGGGACUCUAGCCAGACUGCCUACGCAAGUAGUGAGGAAGGUGGGGACGACGUCAAGUCAUCAUGGCCCUUACGUCCAGGGCUGCACACGUGCUACAAUGGCCGGUACAGAGAGCAGCCACUACGCGAGUAGGAG